RNAcentral lists this long non-coding RNA (303 nucleotides) under Vigna radiata. RNAcentral's name for it is "long non-coding RNA (VRAD_LNC016624)". The record is from RNAcentral. Lineage: Eukaryota; Viridiplantae; Streptophyta; Magnoliopsida; Fabales; Fabaceae.
UUCUGCGCUUUCUUUGAUGUUUAAGAUUUGGCAUAUAUUUCUACUUAUGUAUCCGCCAUUUUCUAUUAGGAAGCUAAAGAGCAAUUAAAGUAAGUUAUCUCGGAGGCUGGGGAGAAAGAGUUUCUUGACUCAAAUUCAAAUUUGUCGGAAAUUAAUCUUAAACUUUCCUCGAGUAAGCGAGUUCACUAUAUCUAUUUUUUUUUUGUUUUCUUUGUUCAUAUACCUGCCUUUACAUGGUAAAAUAAUUAUCAUUAAUAGUUUUGUUUUAGUUUUGUAAUGUGUGUCCAUGUAAUUAUGGUUAUG